RNAcentral lists this ribosomal RNA (743 nucleotides) under Jimgerdemannia flammicorona. Its description in RNAcentral is "eukaryotic LSU rRNA". It matches the Rfam family "Eukaryotic large subunit ribosomal RNA", at positions 1 to 636 of the family's 3401-position model. The record is from RNAcentral. Lineage: Eukaryota; Fungi; Mucoromycota; Endogonomycetes; Endogonales; Endogonaceae.
AUUGUUUAGAUCUGAAAUCAGGUGGGACUACCCGCUGAACUUAAGCAUAUCAAUAAGCGGAGGAAAAGAAACUAACAAGGAUUCCCCUAGUAACGGCGAGUGAAGCGGGAAAAGCUCAAAUUUAAAAUCUGGCAGGUUAUCCUGUCCGAGUUGUAGUUUCAAGAAGCGUUUUCGGUGCGCGUCUGGGUAUAAGUUCUUUGGAACAGGACAUCAUAGAGGGUGAGAAUCCCGUUUAUGACCCGGAACAGCGUACUAUGUGAUACGUUUUCUAAGAGUCAGGUUGUUUGGGAAUGCAGCCUAAAAUGGGUGGUAAAUUUCAUCUAAAGCUAAAUAUUGGCGAGAGACCGAUAGCGAACAAGUACCGUGAGGGAAAGAUGAAAAGAACUUUGAAAAGAGAGUUAAACAGUACGUGAAAUUGUUGAAAGGGAAACGUUUGAAAUCAGUCGUGCGGGCGGGUAAUCAGCUUGGCCUUUGGGUCUUGUGCACUUACUCGUCUCGCAGGCCAGCGUCGGUUUUGUUNGCCGGAUAAAUGCCAAGGGAAUGUAGCUCAACCUUUUACGAGGAGGGGUGUUAUAGCCCUGGUAAAUACGGCGGUCGAGACCGAGGUCUGCAGUUGAUGCCUCUCGGGGCUGGGGACUCCAUCGCUCAUUCGCACCCGCGCCUAGACAGCUUGCUGACUAGGUGUGUGGUCUGUGGGUGACACGGUGGGCUACCACACAUCGACUUGGGUCGCUGACUUAAUG